Molecule: ribosomal RNA, 497 nt
Filed under: uncultured bacterium
Lineage: Bacteria
Description: partial 16S ribosomal RNA
Rfam family: Bacterial small subunit ribosomal RNA
Source: RNAcentral
GACGAACGCUGGCGGCGUGCCUAAUACAUGCAAGUUGAGCGCUGAAGGUUGGUACUUGUACCAACUGGAUGAGCAGCGAACGGGUGAGUAACGCGUGGGGAAUCUGCCUUUGAGCGGGGGACAACAUUUGGAAACGAAUGCUAAUACCGCAUAAAAACUUUAAACACAAGUUUUAAGUUUGAAAGAUGCAAUUGCAUCACUCAAAGAUGAUCCCGCGUUGUAUUAGCUAGUUGGUGAGGUAAAGGCUCACCAAGGCGAUGAUACAUAGCCGACCUGAGAGGGUGAUCGGCCCCAUUGGGACUGAGACACGGCCCAAACUCCUACGGGAGGCAGCCGUAGGGGAUCUUCGGCCAUGGACGGAAGUCUGACCGGGCGACGCCGCGGGAGUGAAGAAGGUUUUCGGAUCGUAAAACUCUGUUGGUAGAGAAGAACGUUGGUGAGAGUGGAAAGCUCAUCAAGUGACGGUAACUACCCAGAAAGGGACGGCUAACUACGUG